GACGAACGCUGGCGGCGUGCCUAAUACAUGCAAGUCGAACGCUUCUUUCCUCCCGAGUGCUUGCACUCAAUUGGAAAGAGGAGUGGCGGACGGGUGAGUAACACGUGGGUAACCUACCCAUCAGAGGGGGAUAACACUUGGAAACAGGUGCUAAUACCGCAUAACAGUUUAUGCCGCAUGGCAUAAGAGUGAAAGGCGCUUUCGGGUGUCGCUGAUGGAUGGACCCGCGGUGCAUUAGCUAGUUGGUGAGGUAACGGCUCACCAAGGCCACGAUGCAUAGCCGACCUGAGAGGGUGAUCGGCCACACUGGAACUGAGACACGGCCCAGACUCCUACGGGAGGCAGCAGUAGGGAAUCUUCGGCAAUGGACGAAAGUCUGACCGAGCAACGCCGCGUGAGUGAAGAAGGUUUUCGGAUCGUAAACCUCUGUUGUUAGAGAAGAACAAGGACGUUAGUAACUGAACGUCCCCUGACGGUAUCUAACCAGAAAGCCACGGCUAACUACGUG
RNAcentral lists this ribosomal RNA (508 nucleotides) under uncultured bacterium. Its description in RNAcentral is "partial 16S ribosomal RNA". It matches the Rfam family "Bacterial small subunit ribosomal RNA", at positions 28 to 507 of the family's 1533-position model. The record is from RNAcentral.